This 546-nucleotide ribosomal RNA is filed under the name uncultured Nitrososphaerota archaeon. RNAcentral describes it as "uncultured thaumarchaeote partial 16S ribosomal RNA". Lineage: Archaea; Thermoproteati; Nitrososphaerota. The record is from RNAcentral.
UACAACGCACUACCUGUUCAUAGUAGUCGUUGCUGUCAACAGCACACUGCUCACCAGCAACGCAGGGGACUACAUCUUCUACACAGACUGGGCGUGCACGUCCCUCGUGGUGUUCUCGGUGGCGCAGGCGACAAUGCUUGCUCUAGGCGCAUUAUGCUACAUUUUCUUCCCAGUGAGUCAGGACACGCAAACAUAUUACGCCAAUAUCAUCACCAUAUUCCCAAAGCUCCAAAUGGCUCCCUGGUUGUCACUUCUUUACCCCUACCCCUCGUUCGGCCGACACGACGCAACAAGCACGCUGCCAUACGGAUUGGCGGUACGCUGGUUGUCCUAUCCUUCCCGCUGUUCAACAUGGUCAACCUGUUGCUUGUCAGCGUCCCGCUCGAGGUGGCCUUCAAGUAUCCGAGACCGACACUGCCCGCGUACAUGACGCCUAGUGAGCCUCAGGUAAGGAAGUUCUCCAACUCGCCUGUCGCCCUGGGUUCAGGUGCCGGUGCAGUGCUAACGGUACCCAUCGCUGCGUUGGGUGCAAAACUAAACACGUGG